UACGUAGGGGGCUAGCGUUGUCCGGAAUCACUGGGCGUAAAGCGCACGUAGGCGGCUUCUUAAGUCAGGGGUGAAAUCCUGGAGCUCAACUCCAGAACUGCCCUUGAUACUGAGGAGCUCGAGUCCGGAAGAGGUGAGUGGAACUGCGAGUGUAGAGGUGAAAUUCGUAGAUAUUCGCAAGAACACCAGUGGCGAAGGCGGCUCACUGGUCCGGUACUGACGCUGAGGUGCGAAAGCGUGGGGAGCAAACAGG
RNAcentral lists this ribosomal RNA (253 nucleotides) under uncultured bacterium. Its description in RNAcentral is "partial 16S ribosomal RNA". It matches the Rfam family "Bacterial small subunit ribosomal RNA", at positions 524 to 776 of the family's 1533-position model. The record is from RNAcentral.